UCCCCGCUGGUGUAACUGGUAACACACCUGAUUCUGGUUCAGGAGAGUCGAGGUUCGAUCCCUCGGUGGGGAG
This 73-nucleotide transfer RNA is filed under the name Microbacterium hominis. Its description in RNAcentral is "tRNA-Gln". It matches the Rfam family "tRNA". Rfam says of the family: Transfer RNA (tRNA) molecules are approximately 80 nucleotides in length. Their secondary structure includes four short double-helical elements and three loops (D, anti-codon, and T loops). Lineage: Bacteria; Bacillati; Actinomycetota; Actinomycetes; Micrococcales; Microbacteriaceae. The record is from RNAcentral. RNAcentral also lists the same sequence under 1 other name.